RNAcentral lists this ribosomal RNA (425 nucleotides) under uncultured bacterium. Its description in RNAcentral is "bacterial SSU rRNA". It matches the Rfam family "Bacterial small subunit ribosomal RNA", at positions 917 to 1344 of the family's 1533-position model. The record is from RNAcentral.
GGGCCCGCACAAGCGGUGGAGCAUGUGGUUUAAUUCGAUGAUACGCGAGGAACCUUACCAGGGCUUAAAUGUAGUAUGACCGGCUUGGAAACAGGCCUUCUCUUCGGAGCAGAUUACAAGGUGCUGCAUGGUUGUCGUCAGCUCGUGCCGUGAGGUGUUAGGUUAAGUCCUGCAACGAGCGCAACCCCUAUUCUUAGUUGCCAGCGGUUCGGCCGGGGACUCUAAGAAGACUGCCAGCGCAAGCUGAGAGGAAGGUGGGGAUGACGUCAAAUCAUCACGGCCCUUACGUCCUGGGCUACACACGUGCUACAAUGGUAGAGACAGAGGGCAGCCACCUGGUGACAGGGAGCGAAUCCUUAAAGCCCUUCCCAGUUCGGAUUGGAGUCUGCAACUCGACUCCUUGAAGUUGGAGUCGCUAGUAAUCG